Long non-coding RNA from Rhodamnia argentea, 617 nucleotides. RefSeq lists it as uncharacterized. Lineage: Eukaryota; Viridiplantae; Streptophyta; Magnoliopsida; Myrtales; Myrtaceae. The record is from RefSeq and is a predicted model, not a curated record. The transcript is spliced from 3 exons.
GAAAGGCGGUGUGACUCUCUCAGAUUUAAUUAUACAGUGCCUUCAGAUCGUAUUCUUCUGCGUUGUUGCUCACCAUCUGACCUUUGGCAUGUGGUCGAUUUUGGUCAAAUUGAUGGAAGUCAUGCACGAUUUAGCAUUACGCUAUCGGGUAAGGGUGUGAAAAGGUUGUUCAUGACUCAACAGACACGGAAGUCGAGUUCCCCAUGCACGAUGACAGUUUGAGCGAAGCGGAUCCUCAAGAAGGCUUGCAAGAUUGUCAAAUGAGCAUCGAAGAACAUAGUCAAAUAGCACCAACGAGUAAUCAUGAGCUUCCCUCCCUCGAGGCAUGCGAACAAAGAUCAUGUAGACUUCUAAUUCGAUUGGCAGAGAUGAGUAUGGCAGUGUUUGCUCGCUGCUUUUGUUGUUAAGAGUGAUUGAGAAACUUGCUAAGGGAGCAAUUCAUAGGUAAACGUCGAACUCCAUUGACGCAACUUUCAGCAUCACGACUGCUCAUCUUCCAUCCGACACUAGUGAGCUCUGACGAAUGUAAGGUCGCCCCCUACCAACAAUGAACCGUAGAAGUUCGUCUUCCUCAAACAGAGUCCCUAGCGAACGGAUGUCAAUGGAGACCCGCGAGC